Long non-coding RNA from Notothenia coriiceps (black rockcod), 239 nucleotides. RefSeq lists it as uncharacterized. The record is from RefSeq and is a predicted model, not a curated record. NCBI's taxonomy places the organism in Eukaryota, Metazoa, Chordata, Actinopteri, Perciformes, Nototheniidae. The transcript has 2 exons.
UAAAGAAGUGAAAGUAAAAGUAAAAACCUGAGAAGUGCUGACACUCCGCUUGACUUCUGAGGGCUUUAGUUGAAGGUUUUGAUCCCUUUGUUCACCCUCAGCUCUGCUCUCUGAUAACAUGCUGCACACCGCGAAGCCCUGUGAGAUUCAGACUGGAGGAUUCUGCUUCGAGAACACCCGCAGGAAUGCAGUUCUGGAGUCCAGCUUGUCAGAGUCCGGAUACAAAGCUCCAGGGGCCA